UUUAUUGAGAGUUUGAUCCUGGCUCAGGAUGAACGCUGGCGGCGUGCUUAACACAUGCAAGUCGAACGGACGGAUUGG
Molecule: ribosomal RNA, 78 nt
Filed under: Clostridiales bacterium
Lineage: Bacteria; Bacillati; Bacillota; Clostridia; Eubacteriales
Description: partial 16S ribosomal RNA
Rfam family: Bacterial small subunit ribosomal RNA
Source: RNAcentral